This 1473-nucleotide long non-coding RNA is filed under the name Mytilus galloprovincialis (Mediterranean mussel). Lineage: Eukaryota; Metazoa; Mollusca; Bivalvia; Mytilida; Mytilidae. The record is from RNAcentral.
GGGUGUAUUUUUGAACUUGUAUUUAAAUGUUUUGGUACUAUUUGCAUGGUAACUAAAAUUUUCCUUCAGAAAACUUCUGGUUCUUAGCCAUGUUCCAGUUUGUUCAUAACAUUCAGUAAUUUUCCACAGUUGGUAUAUAUGUAUGUUUAUCUGGUAUCUACCGCCCUCAUGCUGAUGGUCACAAUGUUGAAUCUUCCGGUGUACUGGUGUAUCUGUAAAAUAUAUAAAUAUAUAUAUUUAUGUAUAAUUUUUACAUAAUCUGGUAUUAUAUUAUGAUGUAUUUGUGUUAUAAUCAUAGAUUGUAGUAAUAAGAAAGCUGAUUUCAUCCAGUUUUAGAAAUAAUUUCUCUUUAAGAAGAAUAUGUAUAUAUUUACGAAGGAUUUAAGACAUAGAAAAUUUUAAAUGGAAUCUUUGGCAAAAGUUUAAAGUAUUUGCGGGGACGCAAAUAAUGGAAAGGGGGUAAAAUGUAGAGUACGACGACUAGGGUACAUGUAUUUUCAUGUAUUUUAUUAUGACGUGUGAUAGACAUGUAAGAUAUUUUUGAUGUAUGUUUUAAAUUGGUAUUAAUAAAGCAUACUGUCUAAUAUUCUGUAAUUUUUAUGUAAGUUAUGAUGUAGGAAACAGUAACUGUGUGAAAUAACUUGUAUUAUACUACUUGUAAUGCUAGUAGUCUGGAACAUUUGAUAAUUGAAGCAAAUAAGUUUUAAUUAACAUUUAAUAAAGUAAAGUUAGAACAAUUACAAUAUUAUGAUUCUUGUAGAAAUAUUGAAUUACUGUCAUUUGUAUAUAUUUGAUAAACCAGUUGAAGUUCAUGUAAUAAUUUACCAGUUCAUAGUAAUAAUCCACUGAAUAAUCCAACUGUAUGUCUUGUAUUUUUGUGAAGAUCCAAUUGUAGCAACUGUAGUAGAUCGUAGUAAAUCGUAGUAAAUUCCACGCACCUGUGCUUGAAUUUUAUGAAUGAAAUGUAUUGACAUGCGCAGUAGAAUCCAUGUGUCACUUGGGACGAUUGUUCAAUAAAAACACUAUUUUUACGUGUUGGCAACUGUUUUCACAUACUUCUUGUAAUUCCUUUUAGUAUUUGUAGUCAACGUCUUCAAUGUUUUGUAGAUGUUAAUGCUCACUUUCCUUGAUAUUUAACAUUUUGGUCCGCCGGUGACACACAUGACUUUUCGCAAUGUUGUUUACGUAUUGUGACUUCCGGUGGCGCUGUAUAUAUUGUUGUAUUUUUAGUUACUAUAGAAAUUUGUUUAGUACCAUGCAAACUUUGUUUAUUAUAUAAAGGUUACUUAAAUUGUAUAUUAUUGUGAUUUUUGUAAUUUAUUAAGAAUUCAAAUAUUUGGUUGGACGGCAAGCGCGCGAUCCAACCAUCCAACCAUCCAACAAUCCAACAAUCCAACAUUGACGUAAUUUCGACGCUUGGUCGUCAGUUCUGCUUAAACUUUUGGUUCUUACAGUUGGUAUUUUUAUUUGCUC